UUUAAUAUACAGAUUCUGCUUUUCAAUUGCGGUCAUAUACAAGCACUGGUAAAAGAGAUUUUGCAGCUUCCUUAUUGUGUUAGUCGGCAGCCAUGCAUUAGGAAGAAAAGAAAAUCAUAUUUUCUUCAUUGUUUUUUCAGAGUAUUGCUGCAUGCGUUAGGUUUUUUACAAGUCAUCAUCAUAUCAUAAUUUUUGCUGCUGCAUGUAUUAAAACAUGCUUUUGUGUUUUGGUUUUUGCUGCAUGUUUUAGAAUACAUACAUAUAUUCUUAUAUAUUGCUGCAUGCUCUGAAGGUAUGUAUUGUAGUUUGCAUUUGAUGCAGCACCAUGCACUGAAAGCAUCGUCAUUCAUAUAACAGCAGAAAGUUUGUUUUCCAUGUCGGUCAGCAGCCUGUGUUUUUAAAAGAAAAAUCAUAUUUUUCCCGUGAGGUUUAUGGUAGAAAAAUCAGUUUGUAUCCACAAGUGUUUCUUUUAAAGACAAAUUUAGUUUUGUUCACUGAUUUUUUAUUGUGCCUUAAUCGAAAUCAAUUAUGAAAAUGUGCCUUGUGAUUUUCAUAAUUGAUUGAUUUUUAAAAUUAUUUCAUUUCAUUCAUUCUGUAUGAUCGUGUUAGUAUCCUGCAAAGUUCAAGGAUGGAGUGAUUGACGGUCGCCUUCGAAAGCUGAAGAGAGAUCGAGUAGCAAAGCGUAAAGACAAAGCUGCCAGUUAACAUGUAUGUCUAGUUGAUGAGUUUUGUAAGUCUUUUUGUAUUUGUUUUUCUCGUAGUGUUUUUUGGCUUGAGAGCCCGAGGAUUUUCCCAAUGGUGGGUUUUGCCUCGUUAAAUCCUACAUCUUGUGUGCACAUUUUAUUUGUUGUUUUUAACUGCAUACACGUUGGAUAAUUUGAUAUGUGUUGUGAAUGUGAAAAUUAAAUUAAAAUUGAAUUGAAUUUUUAAGUCGGAACUUAUUCACCCCCUCUAGGUUAAACUAAUACCCAUCAUAGAACUUUCAAUUCUCAUGAGAGUCCCUCUUGGCGGUACACUUCUCCCUUGUGAGGCUCGUGCUGCUUGGUCUUGGGACUUCUGUUGUAAUUCUUGCC
This 1073-nucleotide long non-coding RNA is filed under the name Malus domestica (apple). RNAcentral describes it as "long non-coding RNA (MDOM_LNC014376)". The record is from RNAcentral. Lineage: Eukaryota; Viridiplantae; Streptophyta; Magnoliopsida; Rosales; Rosaceae.